Molecule: unclassified non-coding RNA, 392 nt
Filed under: soil metagenome
Description: partial contains 5.8S ribosomal RNA, internal transcribed spacer 2, and large subunit ribosomal RNA
Rfam family: 5.8S ribosomal RNA (bases 1-122)
Source: RNAcentral
GAUGAAGAACGUAGCGAAAUGCGAUACUUGGUGUGAAUUGCAGAAUCCCGUGAACCAUCGAGUCUUUGAACGCAAGUUGCGCCCGAAGCCAUCAGGUUGAGGGCACGUCUGCCUGGGCGUCACAUAUCGUUGCUCGAUGCCUAUCGCAUUGCGAUAGGACUUAGGGCGAAUGAUGGCUUCCCGUGAGCGUUGUUGCCUCGCGGUUGGUUGAAAAUCGAGUCCUUGGUAGGGUGUGCCAUGAUAGAUGGUGGUCGAGUUAGCACGAGACCGAUAAUGUGCAUGCUCCCCAAAAUAUGGCCUCUGUGACCCACACGCGUCUUUUGACGCUCAUGACGAGACCUCAGGUCAGGCGGGGCUACCCGCUGAAUUUAAGCAUAUCAAUAAGCGGAGGA